UACGUAGGGGGCUAGCGUUGUCCGGAAUCAUUGGGCGUAAAGAGCGUGUAGGCGGCUCGGUAAGUCCGCUGUGAAAGUCCAGGGCUCAACCCUGGAAUGCCAGUGGAAACUGUCGAGCUAGAGUCCGGAAGAGGCGAGUGGAAUUCCUGGUGUAGCGGUGAAAUGCGCAGAUAUCAGGAAGAACACCCGUGGCGAAGGCGGCUCUCUGGGACGGUACUGACGCUGAGACGCGAAAGCGUGGGGAGCGAACAGG
This 253-nucleotide ribosomal RNA is filed under the name uncultured bacterium. RNAcentral describes it as "partial 16S ribosomal RNA". It matches the Rfam family "Bacterial small subunit ribosomal RNA", at positions 524 to 776 of the family's 1533-position model. The record is from RNAcentral.